Orcinus orca (killer whale) is the source of this 5248-nucleotide long non-coding RNA. RefSeq lists it as uncharacterized. Lineage: Eukaryota; Metazoa; Chordata; Mammalia; Artiodactyla; Delphinidae. The transcript is spliced from 3 exons. The record is from RefSeq and is a predicted model, not a curated record.
CUCUGCUAUUUCAUCAGUUUGUCUAGUUAUGGUGCUAGCCGAAAGAGGAACGUGUGCCACCUUUUGAACUGCAGCCUCUCCUAAAAGUUCACGACAAAUGUCCUUACCAGCAGGCAGGAUCAACUCUUCAGCAAUAGUAAAGGGCUUCUUAGCUUUAGCAAUGCGGUUAGCCACUAAGAAUGAUGUUCUCAGUGCAGACACAUUUGAUGAAGGGGUGACCUUCAAUAAUUGCUUCUGUUCUUUGUGUUCAUGUUUUUUUUCUUUUGGAAAACUCCGAAAACGUGUCUUUUAAUGCAGGGUGCUUGGUCUCCAUGUGGCGAAGCAAUUUUGAAGGUUUCAUGGCUUCGUUGGAUAGCCGGUCGCCACAUAUUACACAAAGCGGGCUUGGAGAAUGUGAAUCACCUGUUGCACUGAACGUGUAAUUUAAGUAGGACUCCUGGUAUUUUCUUUCAAAUGCAGCUUUCUUUGGGUUGGCAGUCUUAGAGUCUUCUGCUGUCUCAUCAUUGGGUCAUUUCCCUUUUUCAAAGAAGCUCUCCAGCAACGUUUGUUUUUUACUCAUUUUGUCUCGGGUUAGCCCGUGGGCUUACCAAAACCGUGACUGAGACAAGUGUGCAGUGCGGGAAAGCGGCGCAGACGAAGUGGUAAAGAAAAUAAUGGGCGGGCUACUCGCGGACUAAAAUAAGUGUUGGAUUCUGACUUAAACCUGCCACCAGAGGCAGCUUGUGACUUGCCACUCACUGAUAGCGUUUUGGUAUGAGUCUGCAACCAAUUGAUUUCUUAUGGUUUCUGUGCAGUCAAACCUCUCUGCUAAUGAUUAUCUGUAUUUGCAGCCGCUCCCCAGCACUAGCGUCACCGCCUCAGAUCAUCAGGCAUUAGAUUCUCAUAAGGAGCGGGCAACCUAGAUCCCUCGCACGUGCAGUUCACAGUAGGGUUCACGCUCCUGAGAGAAUCUAAUGUCCCCGCUGAUCUGACAGGAGGUGGAGCUCAGAUGGUAAUGUGAGCGAUGGGGAGCGGCUGUAAAUACAGAUGACGCUUAGCUUGCUUGCCCACCACUCACCUCCUGCUAUGAGGCCCAGUUCCUAACAGGCCAGAGCCUGGUACCUUCCGAGGCCUGGGGGUUGGGGACCCCUGCUUUACUGCUUCAUUGUUGCUGCUUGAACUGUGCCUGGUACACAGCAGGCAUUCUGUGUACAUAAUCAUAGAUUUGGGGGAUGGGCAGACAUCUUGGGGAGCUUGUGGAACUUGGGGCUGGAGCUGAUAUCUGGGCUAUACAUCAAACAAGUCACUUCUAUUAAGAAGGAAAAAUCAUGGUUUAUAAUCUUGAGGUGCCGCUGGGCCUUCUGGAGCCAGCACCCCCAGCGUGGCUUUCCCUGGCAUGGCUCUCCCUGGUGUGGCUCUCUCCCCAGCAUGGCUGGAGGUUGGGAGCUCUUCCUCUCCUCCCUCACCUCCUCCUCGGGCAGUGGGUGUGCCCUGAGCUCCACGUUGUUUCCUUCCCCUGGACCUUCCCACCCCCUCUACCUCCUCUGCCAUCAUCAUUCCCUCCUCUCCUGCUUUGCUUGAGCUCCCGUUCGGCCUUCAAAGCCUGGCCAUGAAUGACCCUUGUGACCUCACCCGAGUGGCUAACACAUCCCUCUUCGUGCCGUGCCCUCAUUCUGAAUCUUUGUCUAUAAAACUGCUCUGAGUGAUAUAAUUUCACCACAACUAAGGGGGCAAGUCACACGUUAAGUCGAGUUUCUGGUCUGGGAUGAUUUGAAGAAGAGGAAGGUCCUGGGGAGGGGACACGGGCCAGCGGACGUGUGAGGGCUGGUAGAGGGUCACAGAGCACACUCGCUCACGUCCCCCUUCAGCCAGGCUGGGCUCCUUUCAGGAGUCCAGUGACCAGGAAACCCUCCCAGCAGCAGAGAACAUCCUUUCUCCUGGUGGCACAGACAAGCUGGAUCUCAACGAGCAGCGGGUGUGCGGGCAUCUGUUGGAAACACAGACCCCCUGCAAGACGUCCUCCCGGCUUCAGGACGGUGUUGGAGCUUGACUGAAAAGGGAUGCGUUGUGUAGAUUCUGAGUGUGAGCUCAGUACGGUGAGCAGGGGCUGCUGUGAAGGAUACUUACCCUAUAAGUGAUAACCAUGCUACCAACAACGGCAGUUAGCCAUGAAGCGUCUCUUGGUACCAAGCACAAUAGGCGGGUUCCUUAACCGUCCCAGUGUGCCGAGGGGCCACACCAAGUCACCACGAGCCAUCCCAGCCUCGCAGGCAUGGUCAGAACAGCUGUCAGGGCAGCCUCAUGAGUAAGCAGCUCGAGGGACAUUUUGAGCCGGAGGGGAGGCGAGCCGUCCUGCAAACCUGGCUUCUGAAACGCGAGGGGGUUUAACCCUCCUCCUGAACUGGGCCCUGGUGACCGACCACAGGUGGAAUCCCAUUUUCCUUCUCUUUCCUUUUUCCUUUAACACAUGCGUGGGGGACAGCUCACGGGGCCUUUUUGGUCUGGGAAUGCUCUCCACCCCAUCAGCUGUUUGCAGCUGCUGCAUCGUCCUCCUCUGGGAAUGAGGGGUUGUCCUCUGUCACCCUCAGGAUAGGCUCCGCAAACAAGGGCCUCUCCCGUCCAGAAAAGGUGAAGGGGCUGCCCCAGCUCCCGAGUGCCUGAUGGCUCUCCGGGUCCCGAGCAGGGCCUGGUCUGGGUCUCCUGGGUGGCUGACCUUCAGGAUGGCACUUGGCAGGGCUGUCCCCCAACCCCCAAGGCAGCGAUGAAGCCUCUGCACUCAGUGUGUGGUCCAGGCCUGGAGAGAGACACCGAGGAAGGGGCCGGGGUGGCGGGGGGGAGGAGACGGCCGCUCCCAGAGUCCCACACACCAACCGCCCACAGCUGCCGUGGUCCUGUUCCUGUCUUCUGACCCUCACAGCGACCUGGCCACUCCCUUGGAAAGGUUUGUCCAGGCAGUUGCCAACAUCCAGGACAGAGACUCUGGGGACCCCACCUCUAGAGCAGCCCAAGUGUAGUUUUAUCUGGAAAGGAAAGAAUAAAAUGGGAAAAACGGAGCAGCUCCCCUGUUGUUGGCUUGUGACAGUUCCCAUCCCUGGGCUGCUCACAGCCUCAGGCCGUCACCUCUGAGGGCUCCUGUGUCCUUGGAGAGAGUCCGACAGCUCACGGCUGUCGUCUGUUCCUCUGUGGCAUCGUUCAUCCAGACCUUCUGCUCCUCUUGGCUGUGGGUGUGGUGUUACUCAGAAGAGGACACCUCUGGUGUGUGCAGGGGAAGAUCUGACCCCAAGCACCACCGUGGAAGUUCUUGUCUGUGCCCAGAAGCAGGCUCUGUGUGGAACAGACACUUCUUUCGGGGGGCUGGGCUUGUUACCUACGGUCCACCUGGCCCAGGUCCAGGCAUAAAUGUGGUUUCGUGCCCACAGGUGGGGAGGGUGGAGGAGGACCUUCCUGGAAGCCUUGCGGACAGAGCUUUUGGAAUCCCAGCGCUCUCACCUGCGGGCGUUCGGCUGCUUUCAUGUUGCCUCCGUUUCUACAUCUGGAAAGUGGAUGCGUUAUUCCCUGUUUCACGGUGAAGAUGGAAUGAAAUUGUGGCUGUAGAUGUUGGCUCUAGAAUAUCCUAGGAAAGUCUUCCUAAGAGAAAAAUAAAAUAUUUAUGUACAAGAAUGUUCACCAAAAAGUGAUUUCUUAGAGGGAAUAAUCAGAAACAACCUGAAUGUUUAGGGCAUUUGUUCAUGCAUUUAUAGGGUACCAGGAUGUGGUCUCUUCAGAUGAUGGUGCAGGUAUAUUUUCAAUGACACGAAAGGGUGUACACAAGAGAUUAUACAUUUAAAAAAUACAGGUUAUUGAACCUUUUCUUUAGAACGGUCUUGGGUCGGGGGUCCGUGUUAGUCACGCUCAUCACUGUUUUCCUACCCACAACUCCCCAUGGAGAGCCUCCCGUGGCCCGUGGCCCGUGGCCCAUGGCCUGCUUUGUGUCAGGGACCAGGAGAGGAUGGCUGAACCAAGCUGAGCCAACCAGAUUCGUUCUUUUGGGAACACAAACCGAGUCCUGGAAAGCAGACAGCUCUGAGCCCAAGUGCUGUUGAUGUAACCACUGGGGAGGGAAGCAUGUGGGUCAGAAGCCAACCAAGGGAGUCACCUGUUGCAGGGAGACUGGACUGGGGGCUAGAGAGGGAGGGCCCCUGGCCCCUGGGAACGAGCAAGAGAGACAGAGAGAGCUCCAGAAUGGCCACCAUCAUGGAGUUCAGCUGUGUCCCCUCCCCCUUGUCACCCAUAGAUGCCUCUCUGUCCGGCUCAGAAUAUUCCUUUGUGCUGGACAUAAUUUCCAUUCUUUGCACCCAAAUGACGGCUGACAAGGCAAUGCUCUGUGAACACGUGGUUAAGACGCUUAUUUCCGGGUAGAGGUAGUUCAGAUAUUUAUUUUUCUAAAGUUCUCAGUAUUUUCUAUUUUUUCUACAACGAUCAUUCAUGUAUUAAUUGUUAAAAAAAGAAAUGGAAAGGGCAUCCACUUUGAAAACAGACUGGCAGCUUUUUAUAAAGUUAAACUUGAACUUACCAGCAAUUCCACUCUGAGGUACUUACCUAAGAGAGACGGCAACCUAGAGCCACACAAACACCUAACUCGAACGUCCACACCAGCUUCCUCCACGACGGCCCCGGACCGCACCAGCCCCGGAUGCCUUUGGACAAAAAACCCAGCUGUGGUCCAUUGUACAGCGGGACACGACUCAGCAAUAAAAAGGAAUGACCUGGCGAGGGAGGCAACACCUAAAGCAGGCAGACCCGAAGGAAAACUGUGAAAUUUGGGAUUCCAUUUCUUCUUUAAAAUACAAAUAGUGGCAAAGGCAAAUCUUGGACACUCAUGCAAUGUGCUUGUCCCCAGUUUUUCGACACCACUGCUACGUACCGUCCCCAGAUGUUGGCACCAGUACAAAGAUAACAUCUGUACAUAAUGGCCUGCCUCGGGGGACCCUGCCCCUCUGCCUGAAUGUUGAACCAAAGUGCCUUUGUCCAGGCAAACAUCCGGACCCUGUUCCACCUGCCGAUGGCUGCAAGAAAGAAGAAACUAACACAUCCCCUCCCCAAGGCUGGCCAUUCCGGUGAUAUUUGCAAAACUUAUGGCCUUUUUACUUUACUUCCUCAUCUCCUCCCCCUCUCUGUGCUAUAAAAGAAACUGGCAUCCAAACCCCGAUAAGAUGGUUAUUUUGAGACUUUAGUCCGCCAUCUUCUCCGUCUGCCGGCUUUCCGAAUAAAGUCGUAUUCCUUUGCUUCA